GAUGAACGCUGGCGGCGUGCCUAAUACAUGCAAGUCGAGCGAACAGACGAGGAGCUUGCUCCCCUGACGUUAGCGGCGGACGGGUGAGUAACACGUGGAUAACCUACCUAUAAGACUGGGAUAACUUCGGGAAACCGGAGCUAAUACCGGAUAAUAUAUUGAACCGCAUGGUUCAAUAGUGAAAGACGGUUUUGCUGUCACUUAUAGAUGGAUCCGCGCCGCAUUAGCUAGUUGGUAAGGUAACGGCUUACCAAGGCGACGAUGCGUAGCCGACCUGAGAGGGUGAUCGGCCACACUGGAACUGAGACACGGUCCAGACUCCUACGGGAGGCAGCAGUAGGGAAUCUUCCGCAAUGGGCGAAAGCCUGACGGAGCAACGCCGCGUGAGUGAUGAAGGUCUUCGGAUCGUAAAACUCUGUUAUUAGGGAAGAACAAAUGUGUAAGUAACUAUGCACGUCUUGACGGUACCUAAUCAGAAAGCCACGGCUAACUACGUG
Molecule: ribosomal RNA, 497 nt
Filed under: uncultured bacterium
Lineage: Bacteria
Description: partial 16S ribosomal RNA
Rfam family: Bacterial small subunit ribosomal RNA
Source: RNAcentral